This is a long non-coding RNA of Dipodomys spectabilis (banner-tailed kangaroo rat), 6192 nucleotides long. RefSeq lists it as uncharacterized. The record is from RefSeq and is a predicted model, not a curated record. Lineage: Eukaryota; Metazoa; Chordata; Mammalia; Rodentia; Heteromyidae. The transcript is spliced from 2 exons.
ACUUCUGAGCUGGCUUUGAACUGUGAUUUCCACCUCCUAGGAAGUUAGGAUUGCUGAAGGCUUGUGGUAUAGAAUUCUUAUACCUUGGGACCUAGCAUCCCGUACCUUCUCUUGAUCAGACCCAGAAGAACAGUGACCUCUAUUCUUGGCCUCUUUUCUUAAACUCCUGGUAGUCUUUCACUAGCUGACAGCCACCAUGCAUGCAUGGCCCAUCAGCAGAGACACAGGAAUAUGUGGAACUUUUGUUUCUUUUUUCUUAGUUCAGUGACUUUCAGAUUAGGCCUUAUGGACUUUUGUCUACUGAUAAGUACAUCUCAAGUUUGAGAACAAUCACUAACAAUAGUGCAAUAAACAGUUGGAUAAACAAUUUAGUGCCAAGAAUAAUUUUUUUUCUUGUUAAGUGGACAUUCAAGUUGAACUUCACAAUAGAUGUUAACUCAUUGUAAUCCAGGUCAGGACCUAAACAUUCGUUUGUCUAGUCAUUCUUAUUGUCAGGGCAAUGUGUGUUGAAAUGAGCCUUCUUUCUAUAUGGUGGAUAAAAAAAGCAUUGUUUCAUCAUAAUUUAGUUUGUUUCAGCUUAACAACAACAUUGGAGUCCAUGUCUACUUGCAUUUUUAGUGUGAUCAUUUUCUUCUUUUAAUACACCUGUUGAAUGUGUGGUCUUUCCCCUCCCCCCCCAUUUCUGAUGAAAAUACAUAUACAUACUUGGGAAAACCUUUGAAACAAUGUAAUUUUCUAAUACUAGUGAUAUUAUGACUAUAUAUAGAUUAUAUUUCUCAUAGAAGUUUGUGCUUUCUCCUGUACUUGUGGCAGAGCUGUUGUUCUUUUGUAUGUUUUUAUUAGCUUUUCUUUAUUAUAUAGUGCCAGUUCUCUAUAGAUUAUUAUGUUAAACCACUUACUUUUCCUGGUCUUUCAUUUUUGUUUUUGUUUUCCUGGCUUUUAGUCAUUUUAUGUUAGCCUCUCUCCCCCCACCCCCUCCAGGAAAGUGCCAAGAAAUAACUAAUAAGGAAAUGCAAAUGAACUGACUUGACAGUAUGUCACAUUCUGCUUUAGAGUUUGGUUUAAAAGAGUAGUAAAAACUACUGGUCAAAAUAAGAUGUUUUGAUUAGGGUUAUUGAAAGCAAUUGGAUUUGUUGGAGAAAGGGAGGGGAAUCAGCACAGGACUGGAUUCCUCAGCUUUCUUCUGGUCAUGGCUUUAUGCUUUGGGAGGGUGCUUGGCAACUCGGGCUGCGUUGGUCAAUGAUUUUCCUCAUCUGUCUGUUAAACAAUCUCACAAUUCCUCCAGAUCCAGCAGCACGUUUCUGGAAGUGGCUUGUUUAGAAUAUCAGUUGCAAAUGAUUUUGGACUGGUCUUCUAGUUAAAGUGAAACAUCUUUUUUUUUUUUCUUCUUUAAAUAAAUCCACAGAAUGAGAUGCCAUAAUCAGAAAACACUUUUUUAUAUGUAUGUCAUACCAAUGGCCUUAAAGACAGACAUUUUCUUACUCCUAUAGAACUAUGUAUUUAAUAUCAUAAAUAUGUAGAGAUCACUUCUCCAUUAGCUCUUUGAAAUUUCCUUUCUUACGUAUUUUCUUUGUUUUCAUUUUUAUUUUAACUACAACUGGUUGUUUUCUAUCCUCAACCAUAGUCCCGAUGGGUGUGUCUUAACGUACCUACAAAAGACUUUUGAGACUUUACAGGCAAAGCACUAACAAAGACAUUUGCAUUUCAUCCUUCUGAAAAAUAAUUCCAUUCCACAUAAGUAGUUGUUAAAUAUAAUUUGAAGAUAAGGGAAGCAAGCAUGUCUUUUCUUCUUUUGGGAUUUUUGUCUUUGUGAUAUCAGCUUAUUUGUUUUUCAAAGGUAAGUUGCCUUUCCUUGUACACACAGUUAUACACACUGAUUAUUUCAUCACGUGAAGAGACCACUUGUUAAUAAUAGUGAUGUUAGGAUAAGGAAGAUGAAACUUCCUUUCCUAAAAUCCAUCAGGUUGGAAUAUUACCAUACAUCUGAGAGACAUACUUUGAAUUUUAAAACAAACUGAGCCUAGUGAAGGAAUUUUAAAAAUGUAAGACAUUUGAGAAAUACUUGAUGGAUUUUGUCAGACUUAUUCUGGAAGAAGGGAAUAUAAUUAGUACAUCAUAGUAAGAUGGUCUAUAAUUCAAAGAUGUGGAAUGAGACACACUGAAUAGAGGCCAAAGGGCCACAGUUUUGGGCUCUAGGUUAGGGACAAUUUGCUUGAACAGUUGGUUCACUGUGAAAGGCCUACUGAUGGUAAUGGCUCUUUAAAGCAGGAGGUAGAUUAAAAACUGAGCAAAGGUAAUAUGGAAAGGGAUCUAAGCAUUGGUUGGGGAUUGACCUAGAUAAUUCAACAACCUAAAAUUCUGUAUUUAAAAUACUUUGCCCAUGAAAAGAUGUUCAGUUUAAUAUCUGUUGACCCAUACCAUCUGUUGUUUUGGGGUUUUUUAGAGAUUUUAGAAAACUCUUGAAAGGCACUUGAUGGGUUUCCUUGAUUCUCUUGAGAAAGUGAGCUUAACAGAGCUGAGGCCAAAUUACUUUGUGGAGAAAGUAACAAACCACAGGUCUUUAAUUUGAAGUUUCAAUUUAUCAUAACUUUGAUGUGAAUAAUUAUAAGCAAUUUUUGCUAAUCAAAGCUAAUGGAAAAAAUUGUUUCACUUGCAAAAGAACUGAUAUCCUUGAUAGACUGAUGGCUCUUCCUUCAUCUUUGAAAGUAAGUUGUUGGCCCUGAAUCAGUAUGGGGACAAAUAUUCUUUAGUUUGGGUGAAACUUUUGACUCCUCUGAACAAGAGCACAAAGGCUACUCAGCAGUUAGUUCUCCAUUGACUUCCUGAAGUACACCAAUCAAAGUUUUACUUUUCCACUGACUUACAGCAGAAUCAGACAUUCUGUGCUUGAGUACUUGAAGAAAUCUGUGGUAGGUGGUAGCUUGGAGAUACACAGAAGGGGGACUAGUUUAGGUGUAAGAAGCCCCAGAAUGUACAAGUUACCUGUGACUUUAGGCAAAACACAAUAUCUGGAGCAUCAGUUUUCUUACAGAUGAGACAGACCUGUCAGGAUUAGUGUGCAAAUUAGAUGAGACAACUUGAAGCUGCAAUGUUCAGUGGAUAGCAUUCCAAUAUUAGUUCUUUUCUCCCCAGUGAAGAGACAGGAGCCUGUACUCUUAAGAUACUUGGGAGACUAAGGUGGGAGGAACACUUUGAAAUUGGCUACCACAACACUGAAAUAGUUGACAAAACAAAGAAAGUUUCUGCCUUUAAAGAAGGGAAUUCCAUUUCUGAAAAGGAAGUCACUUAUUUGACUUGCUUUUAGACAUUACUGUCAAUAGUUGGUUUCUUCACAUAUUUCUUGAAAGACAUUGUAUCCCACUACCUGUCUCUCGGUGGCAAUUCCAGGGUUACAAAUUCCUUAAUAUCAGGAAACUUAGUCUUAGAGCUGAAAUACCUCACAAUGCAAUUGAAACCUCUUCUUGAUCUCAUUCUCCACGGGAAGAAAAAUGGGCAGAUCCAUAUAUUUUUAGGGAGCCAUACUUGGCAUUUAUUCUGUUUCCCUUCUGGCUAAUACUUAAGGUGAUAAUUAUUUCCUUGGUGAAUGUCAGAAUAAGUAUUUACUCUUAGCUUCUUAUUGGAAUCACAUUUAGAUCAUAAGCUUAUUAUUGUUUAACUCCAAUUAUACAUGUAUUUUUCUUCUUUGGUUAUAAUUGAUAACUGAUUCAUAACUGAAUGCUUCCUUAUUGAAGAAUGAUUCUGGUUGUGUGGCUCUUUUAUUUCCAUCUCUUGGUAAAAAUGGAGUCAUAAAACCUAGUUAUAUGGUCUACUUUUAGAAUUUACUUUCAUAUGUGACAUUAUUUGUGAAUGUAAUGACCAAUACUGAAGAAGUCUUUUUCCCUCUAUUUGUGCACUGUAUUUUGAAAUAAAAAUUGGAGUGCCAAAUGCCUAAUAAAACCAAAAUUCAUAUACAGAAUAACAAAAGAAAUCUGGUCUGUUAGAAUAAUUUACCAGGUGGCUGAACAGUUGCACAGCUUAUUGUUUAAGGUUUGCACAGUGAUGCCUGGAUUAAAUAACAAUAAUAAAUGUGAUUAGCCCUCUGGAAAACCAAGCUGCUAAAUACUGAUUUCUGCAAUGUAACCAGUAGGAUAAAUAUUCUCUCAUUCUAUACAAUUGAAAGAUGUUAGUAGAAUUUUCUUGUAGGCUAUUUGAUAAAUAACUUCAAUUUUUUAAAACUUUUUUCUUAUUUCUUUAUGGCUGGUUGGGUUUUUCAUGACAUGUUGUAGAACAUUUCAAAUGAAUGGCAUGCUGGCUUUAAUUUUUACUCAAUGACAUAUCUUCUACACAUACAAGAUGGCUGGAGCUCCUUUGAUGAUAUAAAAGGAAGCUCCAUAAACCUAGUUGAACUAGUGCAUGAGUAAAACCACUGUUUUCAGGAAAAAAAAAUCUUCUCAAAAUUUCAAAUAAUAAGGACCUAAGAAAAGAAUUUUGGUAAAAAAGAAGUGUGCCAUAUAUAUAUAUAUAUAUAUAUACACACACACAUACAUAUAUGUGUAUAUAUAUAUACAUAUAUAUAUAUUACUGCACACAUUUUAAUGCAUGACUUUUAGUAUAGGGCUGAAGUAAAAUGCAAAAUAUAUAAUUCUGGGAUGUUAGCAGCUAAUUAAAUAUUUAGCAAGGCUGCUUUAUAAAGAGUUAGAAAAUCCUUGCUCUCUCUCCUUUUCCUAGCUCUCUUAAAACUUGAGUGUUUAACAUACACAUUUCAACAAACAGAUGGAUCAUUGAGUUUUAUGAGCUCAAUUUUUAAUAUUUGGCUAUUGGUUUAUGCAUAAGAUCUCAGUAAAAUUCAUAUACACAUUAUAUAUAACCUAAUUGUCAGCUUCAAUAUAAGCAUAGUACUUAAUUUUAAAUGUUAAUGUGCAAAUAUUACAAGGUAUGCUUUGUCUAUGUAAUAUUAUUUUUACUUAACAAAAAGCCCUUCAGAAAUAUAAGCCACUGAUAACCUGUGUGCAUUAGCUUGAAAACAUUCUGUUGAAACAUUCUGUGACUUAUGAAAAAUUCAACAUAAAAAAUGCGGACUGGAACAGGAACUUGAAAAAAUAUUUUUAAAUAAAAUUAUAUACCUCUUUUUAAAAUGAAGAUGUAAUUCGUAUACCAUGGAAACUCACUAUUUAAAAGUGUAAAAUUCAGUAUUUUAGUAUGGUCACCCCUUGUGCAGUGUUACCACUAAUGUCAGAUCAUUUCAUCAUCCCCCCCAAAGAAAUUUUGUGUCCAUUAGCAGGCAUUCCUCCCUCCCCAGCAUCUGGCAACAACUCAUCUGCUUUCUACUUGUCUAGGUUUGCCUAUUCUGGACAUUUCAUAGAAAUAUAAUCCUACAAUAUGUGGCCUUUUUGCAUCUGGCUUCUCAUAUUUAACUUUUCUAGGUUCAUCCAUAUUGCAACAUGAAUCCAAAUAUGGUUCAUGGCUAAGUAGUAUUCUAUUGUAUGUAUAUACCACAUUUUAUUUCCCCAUUCAUGAGCUGAUGGGCAUUUGGGUUGUUUCCACCUUUUGGGUAAGUAAUGCUGCUAUGAACAAUUAUGUGAAUUGUGUGUGUGUGUGUGUGUGUGUGUGUGCGCGCGCGCGUGCAUGUGUGUGUUACCACAUCUCUCCUAAAAACAAUGAACCUAACAAAUCCAGUCAUUUGAAUUUAUUCAAAGAGAACCUCUUAAGUCCUUCUUGGAGAAUGCAAGUUCUGAUUUUAGUUAAAUCAAUUAGGAGACCCCUGAAUUGUUAAUUUUCCAAUACAUACAAAAGAAAUUUUCUGAGUCUGUCAUUUAGAUAGGAUAAUUUUAUGAAAACUCUGCAGGCUUGUAGAAAUUGCAUUGUUAUCUCAGAUAAUUUCUCAAGGACAGCUAUAAGUGAUGCUGAAGAGAGCUAAUCUUUUGGGAUUCAACAAAGAAACAUUUUUAAAGGUAUAUUUUCUUUUCUAUAUUGACUGUCUUUAAAAGUUUGGAAAAAGGUCAUGAAAUCAUCAAACCACCUGACUGUUCAUUGUAGCUUUUUAUUAUUAAGAAAUAAUUCAUACUAAGAGUAAAAGUAAAAAGAAUGUAUUUUGUGUGCUAAGAAUGAAUGUAUUUAAUGAAACCUUUUUAUUUGUAACAGUUUUUUAAAAAGCUAAAUGGAAAUUGCUUUCCCAUGUACUUGUAUGUAAAUAAACAUUUCCUGUUGCCCACA